UACGUAGGGGGCUAGCGUUGUCCGGAAUCAUUGGGCGUAAAGCGCGUGUAGGCGGCUAGGUAGGUCCGCUGUGAAAACUCGAGGCUCAACCUCGAGACGUCGGCGGAAACCAUCUAGCUAGAGUCCGGAAGAGGGGAGUGGAAUUCCUGGUGUAGCGGUGAAAUGCGCAGAUAUCAGGAAGAAUAUCCGUGGCGAAGGCGGCUCUCUGGGACGGUACUGACGCUGAGACGCGAAAGCGUGGGGAGCGAACAGG
This 253-nucleotide ribosomal RNA is filed under the name uncultured bacterium. RNAcentral describes it as "partial 16S ribosomal RNA". It matches the Rfam family "Bacterial small subunit ribosomal RNA", at positions 524 to 776 of the family's 1533-position model. The record is from RNAcentral.